Molecule: long non-coding RNA, 211 nt
Filed under: Helianthus annuus (common sunflower)
Lineage: Eukaryota; Viridiplantae; Streptophyta; Magnoliopsida; Asterales; Asteraceae
Description: hypothetical non coding rna
Source: RNAcentral
GUUAUAUCAAUUAUCACCCGUGGUACUGUCGACACCCGACUUGUGGUAAUGUUACUCCAUAACCAGGUUGUAACAAAUUUUGUAUACAAAACCCCAACAUACCCACGAUAAUUGUAUUCUUACAAAUACUCAAUAACUGUCAUUCGCAUGGAAAAGUUAUCCUUUAUGGUUUCCUGGUGAAUAUCUAUAAUUUACACAAAUGCACGUGUGU